CUACCUCUCUUCGUUCGGUUUCUUCCUCUUCGUCGUUCUCUUUCAUCCUUUCCUUCAUUGUUCAUUGGAGAUUUGCGUUUCUGAAUUAUUGAUUGGAUCUUUGAAUUGGAGAUAAGAGAAAUUGGUGAAUCGUGUUUCUGAAAUUGGCGAGAAGAACAAGGUUAUUUGUAUGUUUCUGAUGUGGGGUUUCGAAUUGAUUUCAGUUCUUGUCUACCCAAAUCGAAUUUGUUUGGUGGGUUAAAUUUCCCCCUCUGCAAAAUAUCCUAUUUUGGACAAGGUGUUGCUGGUCUGCUGUGUGCAUGCGGUUUUUCAGCUGCAGUUUGGGUUGUUGCCACUUUUUACAAGCUUCUUAUAUGUUGUUGCAUGUGUUGCUGUUGUAUAGUUGUUUUGCAGUCUUCUCCUGGUAAAGUUUGAUGGCCUGACUGCUUCUCCACAGAGACUGCGGGUAAACUUCCAUCCAAGAAGUCUUCCAAGAGAACUAAAAUCAAGGAUGAAAGUCAUGAUCAAUUUGACAAGAAGCAAAAGCAGUUUCUAAGCCAAUGUCUGCUAUAGCGUCGCCAAGGUAGUACAUCAUCACUAGCUGCUGAUCUGCAAAAUGCUACUUCUGCAGGUUCUGAAAUGGCUAAUACUGGUAAUGAUUUUGGAACCAACAAGCAGUUCAAUCUGAUACUGCAAGUUUAAUAAACUUCUUUUGUGCAUUCUGUCAGAGUUGGAAGAUAUCAAAGGUAACCCAUUUUGAUACAAAUAUGUAACCUUAGCAGCUGGGUUCUUGAAAUAAUUAAUGUGUAACUAAGUCAUAGAUUGAUUUAACCAUUACUCUAGGGACGAGGUUGCGGUAGCCAGCCUUUCCAGGAUAGGGAGACACCAGUAACGUCUUUCUCCUCCAGAUUUACAUUUGACUUGGCAGAACAUUUAACCUUAGCAGAUGCAACUUUUUUCAUGGAUUUAGUUUUUUCUUCACUAACAACUCUUCCUGCUAUUUCAUUCGUCUGAGUGAUGUUUAUAGUGUCAUUUCUGACAUUUCUUCAGCCGA
Long non-coding RNA from Spinacia oleracea (spinach), 1033 nucleotides. RefSeq lists it as uncharacterized. Lineage: Eukaryota; Viridiplantae; Streptophyta; Magnoliopsida; Caryophyllales; Amaranthaceae. The record is from RefSeq and is a predicted model, not a curated record. The transcript is spliced from 3 exons.